RNAcentral lists this ribosomal RNA (401 nucleotides) under uncultured Glomeromycotina. RNAcentral describes it as "SSU rRNA". It matches the Rfam family "Eukaryotic small subunit ribosomal RNA", at positions 569 to 974 of the family's 1831-position model. Lineage: Eukaryota; Fungi; Glomeromycota. The record is from RNAcentral.
AGCAGCCGCGGUAAUUCCAGCUCCAAUAGCGUAUAUUAAAGUUGUUGCAGUUAAAAAGCUCGUAGUUGAAUUUCGGGGUUAGUAGGUUGGUCAUGCCUCUGGUAUGUACUGGUCUCACUGAUUCCUCCUUCCUGAUGAGCCGUAAUGCCAUUAAUUUGGUGUUGCGGGGAAUUUGGACUGUUACUUUGAAAAAAUUAGAGUGUUUAAAGCAAGCUAACGCUUGAAUACAUUAGCAUGGAAUAAUGAAAUAGGACGUUCGAUCCUAUUUUGUUGGUUUCUAGGAUUGACGUAAUGAUUAAUAGGGAUAGUUGGGGGCAUUAGUAUUCAAUUGUCAGAGGUGAAAUUCUUGGAUUUAUUGAAGACUAACUACUGCGAAAGCAUUUGCCAAGGAUGUUUUCAUU